UGCGUGUGCAUCGGUGCUUUGCUCCAGAGAUUAGCGUAGUUAUGCGGUGUUGUUGUUCAAAACCAAUUACUAACGACGACAAAGGUUGAUGCUUGUUUCGGAUGUUGAAAAUCAUGAACGCCGAAAAGAGAAAAGAUGACUUGGCGUUUUAUCAACUUGAACAUGAGCUCAUGACCGUGGGAUGGAUUCACAUUGAGCCCUCUCAUGGCUGUUUUAUCUACGUCAAGUGUUGACCUUCAUUGUCACUACUCGUAUCAGAGACUGAUGAAAGAGUCAAUAGCUAUCACGUGUGCUCCAGAACGGUAAGAGUGCAGAUCGAUUUACAAACGACCUUGAGUUGGAAGUGACUCGACGUGGAAUGGACUGCAUUACACCAGUGGCGGAUCCAGGAUUUUGAAAAGGAAGGUUCCAUCAAGCAGGGACUAUCUUCCUACUAACUGGCAACUUUAAUUAAUUAAUUAAUGUAGAAACGCAAUAUAACGGGCUUUAUACUUAUCAUUUAUACGGACGUCAUACAAGAACUGCACAAUCUCAGAUUAUUGAUAUUAUACACACACUUCAA
This is a long non-coding RNA of Corticium candelabrum, 562 nucleotides long. RefSeq lists it as uncharacterized. NCBI's taxonomy places the organism in Eukaryota, Metazoa, Porifera, Homoscleromorpha, Homosclerophorida, Plakinidae. The transcript has 4 exons. The record is from RefSeq and is a predicted model, not a curated record.